UCGCCUGUUUAUCAAAAACAUGGUCUUUUGUUUAUAUAAAAGAUCUGGCCUGCCCAAUGUUGAUUGAAUGGCUGCAGUAUAUUGACUGUACAAAGGUAGCAUAAUCACUUGUCUCUUAAUUAGAGUCUGGAAUGAAUGGUUGGAUGAGAAAUUUUCUUUCUUUAUUUUUUAAAAAAAAAUUGAUUUUUAAAUAAAAAAGUUUAAAUGUAUAUAUAGGACGAGAAGACCCUAUAGAGCUUAAUCCUCCCUAAAUAAUUAUUUUUUUGUAAAUAAUUAUUUUUUAUUUUGGGGGAGGAUUUUGUUGGGGUGACAGAAAAAAUUUUAUAACUUUUUUUACUUUUUUCAUUUAUUUGUGUAUUAUUGAUCCUUUAAUAUGGAUAUUAAGAUUAAGCUACCUUAGGGAUAACAGCGUUAUUAUUUUAGAGAGUUCAUAUCGAUAAAAUAGUUUGCGACCUCGAUGUUGGAUUAAAAUAAGUUUCAGGGGCAGAAAAUUGAUUAACUAGGUCUGUUCGACCUUUAAAUUUUUACAUGAUCUGAGUUCAAACCGGAGA
Molecule: ribosomal RNA, 551 nt
Filed under: Tuxedo drakei
Lineage: Eukaryota; Metazoa; Arthropoda; Insecta; Hemiptera; Miridae
Description: partial 16S ribosomal RNA
Rfam family: Bacterial large subunit ribosomal RNA
Source: RNAcentral